RNAcentral lists this ribosomal RNA (492 nucleotides) under uncultured bacterium. Its description in RNAcentral is "partial 16S ribosomal RNA". It matches the Rfam family "Bacterial small subunit ribosomal RNA", at positions 29 to 507 of the family's 1533-position model. The record is from RNAcentral.
AGUGAACGCUGGCGGUAGGCCUAACACAUGCAAGUCGAACGGCAGCACAGUAAGAGCUUGCUCUUACGGGUGGCGAGUGGCGGACGGGUGAGGAAUACAUCGGAAUCUACUUUUUCGUGGGGGGGGACGUAGGGAAAAUUACGCUAAUACCGCAUACGACCUACGGGUGAAAGCAGGGGAUCUUCGGACCUUGCGCGAUUGAAUGAGCCGAUGUCGGAUUAGCUAGUUGGCGGGGUAAAGGCCCACCAAGGCGACGAUCCGUAGCUGGUCUGAGAGGAUGAUCGGCCACACUGGAACUGAGACACGGUCCAGGCUCCUACGGGAGGCAGCAGUGGGGAAUAUUAGGCAAUGGGCGCAAGCCUGAUCCAGCCAUACCGCGUGGGUGAAGAAGGCCUUCGGGUUGUAAAGCCCUUUUGUUGGGAAAGAAAAGCAGCAGGUUAAUACCCCGCUGUUCUGACGGUACCCAAAGAAUAAGCACCGGCUAACUUCGUG